RNAcentral lists this ribosomal RNA (492 nucleotides) under uncultured bacterium. Its description in RNAcentral is "partial 16S ribosomal RNA". It matches the Rfam family "Bacterial small subunit ribosomal RNA", at positions 29 to 507 of the family's 1533-position model. The record is from RNAcentral.
AGUGAACGCUGGCGGUAGGCCUAACACAUGCAAGUCGAACGGCAGCACAGUAAGAGCUUGCUCUUACGGGUGGCGAGUGGUGGAUGGGUGAGGAAUAAAUUGGACUCUACUUUUUCGUGGGGGAUAACGUAGGGAAACUUACGCUAAUACGGCAUACGACCUACGGGUGAAAGCAGGGGAUCUUCGGACCUUGCGCGAUUGAAUGAGCCCAUGUCGGAUUAGCUAGUUGGCGGGGUAAAGGCCCACCAAGGCGACGAUCCGUAGCUGGUGUGAGAGGAUGAUCAGCCACACUGGAACUGGGACACGGUCCAUACUCCUACGAGAGGGAGCAGUGUGGAAUAUGGGACAAUAGGGGCAAGCCUUAUCCAGCCGUACCGCGUGGGUGAAGAAGGCCUUCGGGUUGUAAAGCCCUUUUGUUGGGAGAGAAAAGCAGCAGGUUAAUACCCCGCUGUUCUGACGGUACCCAAAGAAUAAGCACCGGCUAACUUCGUG